This 253-nucleotide ribosomal RNA is filed under the name uncultured bacterium. RNAcentral describes it as "partial 16S ribosomal RNA". It matches the Rfam family "Bacterial small subunit ribosomal RNA", at positions 524 to 776 of the family's 1533-position model. The record is from RNAcentral.
UACGAAGGGGGCUAGCGUUGCUCGGAAUUACUGGGCGUAAAGCGCACGUAGGCGGCUUUCUAAGUCGGGGGUGAAAUCCUGGAGCUCAACUCCAGAACUGCCUUCGAUACUGGAGAGCUUGAGUCCGGGAGAGGUGAGUGGAACUGCGAGUGUAGAGGUGAAAUUCGUAGAUAUUCGCAAGAACACCAGUGGCGAAGGCGGCUCACUGGCCCGAUACUGACGCUGAGGAGCGAAAGCCAGGGGAGCAAACGGG